Molecule: long non-coding RNA, 482 nt
Filed under: Gopherus agassizii (Agassiz's desert tortoise)
Lineage: Eukaryota; Metazoa; Chordata; Testudines; Testudinidae
Description: lncRNA (ENSGAGG00000006311.1)
Source: RNAcentral
UCCAGAGCUAACAGGAGCGACCCCCAGUUAUUCCAAGAUCCUGGCACCCUGGUGGUGAACGGGUCACAGCUCACGGCCCGGGAGGGCGACUCCCUGCGGUUCGUCUGCUCUGUCGCCAGCAACCCCCCCGCUGUGCUGGGCUGGGUGAGGGGGGGCCGAGCCAUCGAGGGCACCUGCCCCACANCAGCUCACGGCCCGGGAGGGCGACUCCCUGCGGUUCGUCUGCUCUGUCGCCAGCAACCCCCCCGCUGUGCUGGGCUGGGUGAGGGGGGGCCGAGCCAUCGAGGGCACCUGCCCCACAGAGGAGAAUCAGCUGCGGCUGGAGCUGCCCAACGUGACGGCCGAUGACAGGGGGCUGUACGGGUGCUGGGCCCAGAACAAGGAAAGCUCUGCCCAGGGGACGUUCCAGCUGCUCGUCGAGUGUGAGUGAGGUUAACCUCUAGGACGCUGACCCUGGAGAGUAGCAGUGUUAAUCCGUGGGA